GAUGAAGAACGCAGCGAAAUGCGAUAAGUAAUGUGAAUUGCAGAAUUCAGUGAAUCAUCGAAUCUUUGAACGCACCUUGCGCUCCUUGGUAUUCCGAGGAGCAUGCCUGUUUGAGUGUCAUUAAUAUAUCAACCUUUUUGGGUUGGAUGUGGGUUUGCUGGCCUUUUGAGGUCAGCUCCCCUUAAAUGCAUUAGCAGACAACAUUUUGCCAACUGUUCAUUGGUGUGAUAAUUAUCUACGCUAUUGACGUGAAGCAAAGGUUCAGCUUCUAAUGGUCCAUUGACUUGGACAACUCUUAUUUAUUAAUUUGACCUCAAAUCAGGUAGGACUACCCGCUGAACUUAAGCAUAUCAAUAAGCGGUGGA
Molecule: unclassified non-coding RNA, 365 nt
Filed under: soil metagenome
Description: partial contains 5.8S ribosomal RNA, internal transcribed spacer 2, and large subunit ribosomal RNA
Rfam family: 5.8S ribosomal RNA (bases 1-120)
Source: RNAcentral